Molecule: long non-coding RNA, 540 nt
Organism: Carassius carassius (crucian carp)
Lineage: Eukaryota; Metazoa; Chordata; Actinopteri; Cypriniformes; Cyprinidae
Exons: 3
Source: RefSeq, a predicted model, not a curated record
AACAUUAAAAUUAAGGUGGUGAGGAGGUCUAUCGCUGGCCCUGCAAAGUUUUCUUACCUCAGUCAAGGUCUUCCCCAGCCCAGCUUCAAACAGACCCACUCUUCUGACCAUUCGAUUACAUCUCAACUGGCUGAACCUGAUGAUGCGACACCAAGCUGUUCUGAGAGUGCAUACAGUAAGGCAAAGAAGAGAGAGCUUAUGCCUGGGAUGCAGUCAAGGAUGAGAUGCUUAAGGUGUCGUUGAAUGUUCAGCACCAUUCACUACCCCGUGUGUUGUCUGCCGAGAACAUGGUGAUUAUAGAUGCAUUGAGUGCAGCUCCACUGCAGUGUUUUGUGAGGUUUGCCUGAAGAGGACUCACAGAAAUUCACUGCAUCUUCCUGAAAAGUGGAAUAAUGUUUACUAUGAGCCAUCCUCCCUGGGGUUAUUCUUAUAUUUACCUGAAGCCCAUAGCACCCAUGAUGUGUACACAAAGGACAUGAAGGUCAUUGUCAGCACAGGACGGCUCUGCACCGUUACAGUCAACAUGUGUGGGUGUGAACC